Molecule: ribosomal RNA, 1407 nt
Filed under: uncultured bacterium
Lineage: Bacteria
Description: bacterial SSU rRNA
Rfam family: Bacterial small subunit ribosomal RNA
Source: RNAcentral
AGAGUUUGAUCCUGGCUCAGGAUGAACGCUAGCGACGGGCUUAACACAUGCAAGUCGAGGGGCAGCGGGGGUGAUGGCUUGCCAUCACCUGCCGGCGACCGGCGCACGGGUGAGUAACACGUAUGCAACCUGCCCGCCACAGGGGGAUAAGCGGAAGAAAUUCCGUCUAAUACCGCGUGACGCGGCGUCGGGGCAUCCCGGUGCCGCCAAAGGGAUUACCGGUGGCGGAUGGGCAUGCGGCGCAUUAGCUAGUCGGCGGGGUAACGGCCCACCGAGGCGACGAUGCGUAGGGGUUCUGAGAGGAAGGUCCCCCACACUGGUACUGAGACACGGACCAGACUCCUACGGGAGGCAGCAGUGAGGAAUAUUGGUCAAUGGGCGGGAGCCUGAACCAGCCAAGUCGCGUGAGGGAUGACGGUCCUACGGAUUGUAAACCUCUUUUGCCGGGGAGCAAGCGUGCGUUCGUGAACGCGCGUCGAGAGUACCCGGAGAAAAAGCAUCGGCUAACUCCGUGCCAGCAGCCGCGGUAAUACGGAGGAUGCGAGCGUUAUCCGGAUUUAUUGGGUUUAAAGGGUGCGUAGGCGGGAUGCCAAGUCAGCGGUAAAAAUGCGGUGCUCAACGCCGUCGAGCCGUUGAAACUGGCGUUCUUGAGUGGGCGAGAAGUAUGCGGAAUGCGUGGUGUAGCGGUGAAAUGCAUAGAUAUCACGCAGAACUCCGAUUGCGAAGGCAGCAUACCGGCGCCCUACUGACGCUGAGGCACGAAAGCGUGGGUAUCGAACAGGAUUAGAUACCCUGGUAGUCCACGCAGUAAACGACGAAUGUAAACUGUCCGGUGCGAGUGAGCGCUGGGCGGUACAGCGAAAGCGUUAAGCAUUCCACCUGGGGAGUACGCCCGGCAACGGUGAAACUCAAAAGGAAUUGACGGGGGCCCGCACAAGCGGAGGAACAUGUGGUUUAAUUCGAUGAUACGCGAGGAACCUUACCCGGGCUCAAACGCAGGAUGACGGGUCCCGAAAGGGGCCUUUCUUCGGACAUUCUGCGAGGUGCUGCAUGGUUGUCGUCAGCUCGUGCCGUGAGGUGUCGGCUUAAGUGCCAUAACGAGCGCAACCCCUGUCCACAGUUGCCAGCAGGUAAAGCUGGGGACUCUGUGGAGACUGCCGGCGCAAGCUGCGAGGAAGGCGGGGAUGACGUCAAAUCAGCACGGCCCUUACGUCCGGGGCGACACACGUGUUACAAUGGCAGGUACAGCGGGAUGCCACGGGGCGACCCGGCGCUGAACCCGAAAACCUGUCUCAGUUCGGAUUGGAGUCUGCAACCCGACUCCAUGAAGCUGGAUUCGCUAGUAAUCGCGCAUCAGCCACGGCGCGGUGAAUACGUUCCCGGGCCUUGCACUCACCGCCCGUCAAG